RNAcentral lists this ribosomal RNA (460 nucleotides) under uncultured bacterium. Its description in RNAcentral is "partial 16S ribosomal RNA". It matches the Rfam family "Bacterial small subunit ribosomal RNA", at positions 338 to 795 of the family's 1533-position model. The record is from RNAcentral.
CCUACGGGAGGCAGCAGUGAGGAAUAUUGGUCAAUGGACGAGAGUCUGAACCAGCCAAGUAGCGUGAAGGAUGACUGCCCUAUGGGUUGUAAACUUCUUUUAUAUGGGAAUAAAAUGUUCCACGUGUGGGAUUUUGUAUGUACCAUAUGAAUAAGGAUCGGCUAACUCCGUGCCAGCAGCCGCGGUAAUACGGAGGAUCCGAGCGUUAUCCGGAUUUAUUGGGUUUAAAGGGAGCGUAGGUGGAUUGUUAAGUCAGUUGUGAAAGUUUGAGGCUCAACCGUAAAAUUGCAGUUGAAACUGGCAGUCUUGAGUACAGUAGAGGUGGGCGGAAGUCGUGGUGUAGCGGUGAAAUGCUUAGAUAUCACGAAGAACUCCGAUUGCGAAGGCAGUUCACUGGACUGCAACUGACACUGAGGCUCGAAAGUGUGGGUAUCAAACAGGAUUAGAUACCCUAGUAGUC